CCUUCGAUAGCUCAGUUGGUAGAGCGGAGGACUGUAGGAAGUAAAUGUGGGAAUCCUUAGGUCGCUGGUUCGAAUCCGGCUCGAAGGA
Molecule: transfer RNA, 88 nt
Filed under: Poecilia formosa (Amazon molly)
Lineage: Eukaryota; Metazoa; Chordata; Actinopteri; Cyprinodontiformes; Poeciliidae
Rfam family: tRNA
About the family: Transfer RNA (tRNA) molecules are approximately 80 nucleotides in length.
Source: Rfam by way of RNAcentral